UACGUAGGGUGCGAGCGUUAAUCGGAAUUACUGGGCGUAAAGAGUGCGUAGGCGGUUCGUUAUGUCUGCUGUGAAAGCCCCGGGCUUAACCCGGGAAUGGCAGUGGAAACUGGCGGGCUUGAGUGUGGCAGAGGGGGGUGGAAUUCCGCGUGUAGCAGUGAAAUGCGUAGAGAUGCGGAGGAACACCGAUGGCGAAGGCAGCCCCCUGGGCCAACACUGACGCUCAGGCACGAAAGCGUGGGGAGCAAACAGG
RNAcentral lists this ribosomal RNA (253 nucleotides) under uncultured bacterium. RNAcentral describes it as "partial 16S ribosomal RNA". It matches the Rfam family "Bacterial small subunit ribosomal RNA", at positions 524 to 776 of the family's 1533-position model. The record is from RNAcentral.